UACCCAGGGUCCAACCGUUAAUCGGAACUACUGGGCGCAAAGCGCGCGUAGGUGGUUUGUUAAGUUGGAUGUGAAAGCCCCGGGCUCAACCUGGGAACUGCAUCCAAAACUGGCAAGCUAGAGUAUGGCAGAGGGUGGUGGAAUUUCCUGUGUAGCGGUGAAAUGCGUAGAUAUAGGAAGGAACACCAGUGGCGAAGGCGACCACCUGGGCUAAUACUGACACUGAGGUGCGAAAGCGUGGGGAGCAAACAGGAUUAGAUACCCGCGUAGUCC
RNAcentral lists this ribosomal RNA (273 nucleotides) under uncultured bacterium. RNAcentral describes it as "partial 16S ribosomal RNA". It matches the Rfam family "Bacterial small subunit ribosomal RNA", at positions 524 to 796 of the family's 1533-position model. The record is from RNAcentral.